This 406-nucleotide ribosomal RNA is filed under the name uncultured bacterium. Its description in RNAcentral is "bacterial SSU rRNA". It matches the Rfam family "Bacterial small subunit ribosomal RNA", at positions 30 to 439 of the family's 1533-position model. The record is from RNAcentral.
AUUGAACGCUGGCGGCAUGCCUUACACAUGCAAGUCGAACGGCAGCACGGGAGCAAUCCUGGUGGCGAGUGGCGAACGGGUGAGUAAUAUAUCGGAACGUGCCCAGUCGUGGGGAUAACGUAGCGAAAGCUACGCUAAUACCGCAUACGAUCUAUGGAUGAAAGCGGGGGAUCGCAAGACCUCGCGCGAUUGGAGCGGCCGAUAUCAGAUUAGGUAGUUGGUGAGGUAAAGGCUCACCAAGCCGACGAUCUGUAGCUGGUCUGAGAGGACGACCAGCCACACUGGGACUGAGACACGGCCCAGACUCCUACGGGAGGCAGCAGUGGGGAAUUUUUGGGACAAUGGGCGCAAGCCUGAUCCAGCAAUGCCGCGUGCAGGAUGAAGGCCUCGGUGUAACUGCUUUGUA